RNAcentral lists this long non-coding RNA (610 nucleotides) under Acyrthosiphon pisum (pea aphid). Its description in RNAcentral is "uncharacterized LOC100569333, transcript variant X2". Lineage: Eukaryota; Metazoa; Arthropoda; Insecta; Hemiptera; Aphididae. The record is from RNAcentral.
CAUUGAGUAAUAAUUUAUUUAUUUAUGUGUUUACAUUUGUCUAAGCAUUUUGUUAUAUAAUAUUCAUAUUAUAGAUCAAUAGAUGAAUUAGUGUAUAAUCAACAUACGUAAAUAUUAAGUUUUUCGCGUGAUCUAUAUUAUGACUAAUAUUUUUACGUAUUUUUUGUUGAUUGAAGACGAUAUAAUAAUUGUAAAAAAAGUUCAAAAUGUACAACUGCAAAUUAUUCGUAAUUAUUGUAUUGGCGUUAAUUAAUGUAAUAGCAGUACAAGCCAGAAUAUUCUUUACAAAACGGACUUUACAUUCGCCUUUUGGAAAAAUGGCUUACGAAAAAACAGAUGCCGCAAAAAAAAUUGGUGUUAUCAUACAUUAUACAUCAUACAUUACAAAAAAAGUUAAUAGUUCGACGAUAAUAUUGCCAAGGAUUGUUGGUUAUUCACUGCUAAAACUCGUUAUAACGUAACGUAUAAUAUAUUUUUAUUAUAUUUAUAUAUACAAAAAAUGUCUUAAGACUCAAAUGAUAAAAAACGAGAUUGGAUAUUCGAAAAGUGUAUUGGAUGUAUUGGAUUAAAAAAUAUACCCAAUAUCAUUUGUUCAUAAAUAUAGGUAAAU